This is a long non-coding RNA of Canis lupus familiaris (dog), 425 nucleotides long. RefSeq lists it as uncharacterized. The record is from RefSeq and is a predicted model, not a curated record. The transcript has 3 exons. Lineage: Eukaryota; Metazoa; Chordata; Mammalia; Carnivora; Canidae.
GGAUUCCACAAAUAAUAAGCCUCUUUCCAAGCAUAUGUAUUCUAGGCAGCACCUGCUUCAAAAAGCCCCCUGAAUCCUCCAGAACAGUUUGCUCAUCAUGGCAUGACUAAGAUUAACACUGAGAAUCAUUGCUUAUGCCUGGAGCCAGUCUUUUGUCCUGUUUGCUGCACAUCUCUGGAGUACCCUAUGCUGACAACACUGCCUCCGAGCCUUCUUCUCACCUUGGUGUCUCUACCUUUUCAAAGCCAAAUACCUGCCUCUUCUCUUCAGUAUCCUCCUGGAAUUUCAGGAACAUUGAUGAAUAAGGAAGUUAUUUCCAGCAUGAGUUUCUUGAAGAGAGAAGCUGCGCCUUGUUUAUGUUCAUCUCCCCAGUGGCCAAUAUAGUUCCAGGCAUCCAUCCAGUGUUUUCUGAAUGAACAAACCAG